This 416-nucleotide ribosomal RNA is filed under the name uncultured bacterium. RNAcentral's name for it is "bacterial SSU rRNA". It matches the Rfam family "Bacterial small subunit ribosomal RNA", at positions 362 to 775 of the family's 1533-position model. The record is from RNAcentral.
UAUUGGUCAAUGGGCGCAAGCCUGAACCAGCCAUCCCGCGUGAAGGAAGAAGGCGCUAUGCGUCGUAAACUUCUUUUCCAGGGGGAGAAUUUUCCGGUCGUGACCGGGAUUGACGGUACUCUGGGAAUAAGCAUCGGCUAACUCCGUGCCAGCAGCCGCGGUAAUACGGAGGAUGCGAGCGUUAUCCGGAUUUAUUGGGUUUAAAGGGUGCGUAGGCGGAUCAAUAAGUCAGUGGUGAAAUUCUGCAGCUUAACUGUAGACUUGCCAUUGAUACUGUUGGUCUUGAGUAUGGUCAAGGUAGGCGGAAUGUGUAAUGUAGCGGUGAAAUGCUUAGAUAUUACACAGAACACCGAUUGCGAAGGCAGCUUGCUGGGCCAAUACUGACGCUCAGGCACGAAAGCGUGGGGAUCGAACAG